UACGUAGGGUGCGAGCGUUGUCCGGAAUUAUUGGGCGUAAAGAGCUCGUAGGCGGUUUGUCGCGUCGACUGUGAAAACCUACAGCUUAACUGUGGGCUUGCAGUCGAUACGGGCAGACUUGAGUUCGGUAGGGGAGACUGGAAUUCCUGGUGUAGCGGUGAAAUGCGCAGAUAUCAGGAGGAACACCGAUGGCGAAGGCAGAUCUCUGGGCCGUAACUGACGCUGAGGAGCGAAAGCAUGGGGAGCGAACAGG
RNAcentral lists this ribosomal RNA (253 nucleotides) under uncultured bacterium. RNAcentral's name for it is "partial 16S ribosomal RNA". It matches the Rfam family "Bacterial small subunit ribosomal RNA", at positions 524 to 776 of the family's 1533-position model. The record is from RNAcentral.